This 934-nucleotide ribosomal RNA is filed under the name Arthrobacter globiformis. Its description in RNAcentral is "bacterial SSU rRNA". It matches the Rfam family "Bacterial small subunit ribosomal RNA", at positions 56 to 1003 of the family's 1533-position model. RNAcentral also lists the same sequence under 1 other name. The record is from RNAcentral. Lineage: Bacteria; Bacillati; Actinomycetota; Actinomycetes; Micrococcales; Micrococcaceae.
UGCAAGUCGAACGAUGAUCCGGUGCUUGCACCGGGGAUUAGUGGCGAACGGGUGAGUAACACGUGAGUAACCUGCCCUUGACUCUGGGAUAAGCCUGGGAAACUGGGUCUAAUACCGGAUAUGACUCCUCAUCGCAUGGUGGGGGGUGGAAAGCUUUUGUGGUUUUGGAUGGACUCGCGGCCUAUCAGCUUGUUGGUGAGGUAAUGGCUCACCAAGGCGACCACGGGUAGCCGGCCUGAGAGGGUGACCGGCCACACUGGGACUGAGACACGGCCCAGACUCCUACGGGAGGCAGCAGUGGGGAAUAUUGCACAAUGGGCGCAAGCCUGAUGCAGCGACGCCGCGUGAGGGAUGACGGCCUUCGGGUUGUAAACCUCUUUCAGUAGGGAAGAAGCGAAAGUGACGGUACCUGCAGAAGAAGCGCCGGCUAACUACGUGCCAGCAGCCGCGGUAAUACGUAGGGCGCAAGCGUUAUCCGGAAUUAUUGGGCGUAAAGAGCUCGUAGGCGGUUUGUCGCGUCUGCCGUGAAAGUCCGGGGCUCAACUCCGGAUCUGCGGUGGGUACGGGCAGGCUAGAGUGAUGUAGGGGAGACUGGAAUUCCUGGUGUAGCGGUGAAAUGCGCAGAUAUCAGGAGGAACACCGAUGGCGAAGGCAGGUCUCUGGGCAUUAACUGACGCUGAGGAGCGAAAGCAUGGGGAGCGAACAGGAUUAGAUACCCUGGUAGUCCAUGCCGUAAACGUUGGGCACUAGGUGUGGGGGACAUUCCACGUUUUCCGCGCCGUAGCUAACGCAUUAAGUGCCCCGCCUGGGGAGUACGGCCGCAAGGCUAAACUCAAAGGAAUUGACGGGGCCCGCACAAGCGGCGGAGCAUGCGGAUUAAUUCGAUGCAACGCGAAGAACCUUACCAAGGCUUGACAUGGACCGGACCGCCGCA